UGCAGUCGACGAUGAACCACUUCGGUGGGGAUUAGUGGCGAACGGGUGAGUAACACGUGGGCAAUCUGCCCUGCACUCUGGGACAAGCCCUGGAAACGGGGUCUAAUACCGGAUAACAGCUUCCAUCGCAUGGUGGGGGUUUGAAAGCUCCGGCGGUGCAGGAUGAGCCCGCGGCCUAUCAGCUUGUUGGUGAGGUAGUGGCUCACCAAGGCGACGACGGGUAGCCGGCCUGAGAGGGCGACCGGCCACACUGGGACUGAGACACGGCCCAGACUCCUACGGGAGGCAGCAGUGGGGAAUAUUGCACAAUGGGCGAAAGCCUGAUGCAGCGACGCCGCGUGAGGGAUGACGGCCUUCGGGUUGUAAACCUCUUUCAGCAGGGAAGAAGCGCAAGUGACGGUACCUGCAGAAGAAGCGCCGGCUAACUACGUGCCAGCAGCCGCGGUAAUACGUAGGGCGCAAGCGUUGUCCGGAAUUAUUGGGCGUAAAGAGCUCGUAGGCGGCUUGUCGCGUCGGUUGUGAAAGCCCGGGGCUUAACCCCGGGUCUGCAGUCGAUACGGGCAGGCUAGAGUUCGGUAGGGGAGAUCGGAAUUCCUGGUGUAGCGGUGAAAUGCGCAGAUAUCAGGAGGAACACCGGUGGCGAAGGCGGAUCUCUGGGCCGAUACUGACGCUGAGGAGCGAAAGCGUGGGGAGCGAACAGGAUUAGAUACCCUGGUAGUCCACGCCGUAAACGGUGGGCACUAGGUGUGGGCAACAUUCCACGUUGUCCGUGCCGCAGCUAACGCAUUAAGUGCCCCGCCUGGGGAGUACGGCCGCAAGGCUAAAACUCAAAGGAAUUGACGGGGGGCCCGCACAAGCGGCGGAGCAUGUGGCUUAAUUCGACGCAACGCGAAGAACCUUACCAAGGCUUGACAUACACCGGAAAAACCCUGGGAGACAGGGUCCCCCUUGGUGGUCGGUGUACAGGGGGGUGCAUGGCCUGUCCGCCACCUCCGUGUCCUGGAAAAUGUUGGGGUUAAGUUCCCCCCAACCAAGCCCCAACCCCUUGGUCCCGUGGUUGCCCGGCAAGCCCCUUCCGGGG
The sequence is a ribosomal RNA, 1081 nucleotides long. It matches the Rfam family "Bacterial small subunit ribosomal RNA", at positions 56 to 1144 of the family's 1533-position model.